UGGGGAAUAUUGCACAAUGGGCGCAAGCCUGAUGCAGCCAUGCCGCGUGUAUGAAGAAGGCCUUCGGGUUGUAAAGUACUUUCAGCGGGGAGGAAGGGAGUAAAGUUAAUACCUUUGCUCAUUGACGUUACCCGCAGAAGAAGCACCGGCUAACUCCGUGCCAGCAGCCGCGGUAAUACGGAGGGUGCAAGCGUUAAUCGGAAUUACUGGGCGUAAAGCGCACGCAGGCGGUUUGUUAAGUCAGAUGUGAAAUCCCCGGGCUCAACCUGGGAACUGCAUCUGAGACUGGCAAGCUUGGGUCUCGUAGAGGGGGGUAGAAUUCCAGGUGUAGCGGUGAAAUGCGUAGAGAUCUGGAGGAAUACCGGUGGCGAAGGCGGCCCCCUGGACGAAGACUGACGCUCAGGUGCGAAAGCGUGGGGAGCAAACAGG
This 429-nucleotide ribosomal RNA is filed under the name Chloroflexota bacterium. Its description in RNAcentral is "Chloroflexi bacterium partial 16S ribosomal RNA". It matches the Rfam family "Bacterial small subunit ribosomal RNA", at positions 355 to 776 of the family's 1533-position model. The record is from RNAcentral. Lineage: Bacteria; Bacillati; Chloroflexota.